Cercocebus atys (sooty mangabey) is the source of this 10189-nucleotide long non-coding RNA. RefSeq lists it as uncharacterized. The transcript is spliced from 3 exons. Lineage: Eukaryota; Metazoa; Chordata; Mammalia; Primates; Cercopithecidae. The record is from RefSeq and is a predicted model, not a curated record.
CUGGAGAAAUUAUCAAGUAAGCAUCAUAUUUAAUGAAUUUAACUAUGGUGGAAUUGUGGGAAAAAUUUUCCUGUACAGGGAUGAUGACUCAGGAAAUGAUGCAGACAGAGAUAGAAAAACAAAUGUCAUUGUAACACAGGUAUUUAAAUUGUAUUUAAAUAUACAGACUUUUGAAUUUAUAGAAAAUUUUCAAGUAUGAAAUUGUUAUGCAACCUAAAAGUCUCAAAGUUCAAAUAAUUUUUUGAGUGUUACAUUUAUAAAUUGUGUAUUAAUGCAAUUCAAAUUUAUUCCUAAAAAUAUUUUAACUAAAGGAGAAACUCAUGGGGCCUGAUAUUAGAGUUUUAGGAAAUGUACAUAUGGGAUAAACUUACAUAGGCUGAAAUUAAGUGAAACCUUGCUUCUCAAUGUUGAGAUGGAUUAGCCAUUUUAACAUAAAGUAGAAGCUUCUAAGAAAUGCAGAAUCUCAACUUCCCCACCCUCAUUCCACCUACCCCACCCACUCAAUCAGAUCCUGCAUUUCAAUAAGAUUUAUUUAGUGCAAUAACUUUUUUACUUAUCAAAGUUGAGAAGCACUAGACUAAAUGAUGAAGAGAAAAGAGGCUGCUUAGGAUAGGGAAAUAAAAGGUUAAAGUUAACUUAAGUAUUAUGAUACUUUCUUAGCGUGUCAUACAGUUAGUUACCUGUCAUCUUUCCUCAUCAGUUCAACUUGUUUUAUGGGGAUGUUUAUGUGGGAAAAUAUCUUUGCUUUUGUAAUUUAUGUGGGAAAAUAUCUUUGCUUUUGUAAUUUUACUUAAGUAAAAUCUGGGCUCCUUUUAUUUCAACUAGCUUUUCCACUAUUGUUGUUAUGAUAAGUACAGGCUACUUAUAAACAUGAUUAGUUCAAUGAGAACUUUUAGAGUAUUGCUGACCUAAAUCUGGACAUCUACACAAUCAUUAAUUCUUACCAAAAUGCUACAAGGCAAUAUAAGCAUAAUUAGCCUCCCUGAUCCCUGAACAUAGCCUAAUAUCAUUCACUCAAUCAGAAUCAUACUGGAAAUGAUAUAACCAACUAUAGCAGGUAGUAGAUGUCCAGUCACACUACUAUUGCUUUUAGCCAGAUGUCUCUGGUCCUUGUGAGUUCCUUUAGUCCUAUAUGGUGAAAUAGCAACAGAGAGAACCAACUCACUCACUCAAGGCAGAUUUCUUAUUUCUAGAUUUGUCCCGAAACCAACAGAUCUAGCUCUCUCUUUAAACACCAUGAAAUUUAAACAAACGAAACUCACAAAAUAAAACAGCAGCAGCAGCAGCAGCAACAACAAUGAAAUCUUAAAAUAGUAAAUAUAAGUUUCAAGCAUCGAAACCCCCUCUCCAACCAAAAUCUCUCUUCUUCAAUAAAGUUCCCAGGAGGAACCCAAUUUCUAGAUUGGUAUCCAAUAUUUGGGAUCAUUUGAUUCAAGACUGAAGUACUUAAAAUGGCUUUUAAAGAAGGAAAAAAGGUUAGAUUUCCAGAGAAAAGUGUAACAUUUUUUAAGUUGAACAUUAUGAGGGAUUUGAUGGGGGCAGCUUUGCAAGUAGAACUGGAGACUGGUCCACCGUUUAGCCUUUUUACAAAAGACUGCAAAGGUUGUUUGUUUCCAAACACCAAGAAGUUACCAAGUUCACCAGUCCAAAUGCAAAUGACUCACACUAGGAACCCUAAUAGUGCUGCUAUUUGCAAAGGGGUGGGGCUGAGAUGAUGCAGGACCCUAUUUUCCCAGGUGGCAUCUUAAGUAUGGUUGAUUCUACCUUCAGCCCCACAUUGAAAAGUACAGUGUAAACACAGCUAAGGGACCGCCUCCUUCAAAUUACACACAAGGCACACCUACUUAUAGGAGGUGUUGUGAAAGCCAGGUGGGGCUUUGUCUUUCAAGUCCCUGCAUCCAAGAAUAAGCAUGCUCUGUACCAAAAAAAAAAAAAGAAAAAGAAAAAAAGAAAAAAAAAGCAAGGGUGAUGCAACUGCAUUCAUUGUCCCUAAAGGGAGAACAUGCACUAACUCUCAGAUCCAAGGAUAAAGGGAAUCCCCCUUUAAGAAAAGACGUUGGCAUUAUGUGGGGAUUGGGAGCAUGCCAGAACAACCACACUUUUUUACAAAAGAGAGAAAGAGAAAAAAAGUUAAGACCCAUCUGUCUUAUUUCAGUCUCUUUCUUCAGAACUGACAACUUUAAUCAACAGGUUGCUUUCAGAGUAUUGCUGGACAUCUUGACUUUCUGCCAUGAAAUGCUAUGGGAAUUCUGAGAGUUGAGAGCCAACACCCCACUAGACACCAGUGCUGCAUAACCACGCUUUUAAUAGACCCCAGAGCUGUGGUGACGGCAUGCCCUUCCCAGUUUUUCCACAGAUGGUGCUCCUGAAAUUUUCCAUAGUCAGUGUAUUCUUGUGGUUAAUUAGUUAUCUGAGCAAUUUCCAUUGUAGAAAGAGUAUCUCUACAUAAUUAAACCCAUCUUAGGACCAAACUGCUGGGCUUCAAUGUCAUUAAUUCAGAAAGGCUAAAAUGAAAAUGAGAUGAAUAAUUCUCACCUGCUGAAGGGACCGCACUAGAUUAAAUCCUAUCCUCUGAAAUACAUAGAACAUUAAAUUUAGAAAAACGAGAGGUGAAAACAGGUGGUGGAAGAAACUGGAAAGGUAAGUUGCCUCUAGAGACCAAAAAAUAACACUCUUUUUCAAACUAUUAUCAAGAAAUCUUGGGGGAAAGAUAAAAUUAGCAAGAGAAGGCUAAUAGCUCUCUGUUACUCACCUUUUAUGAAACCAUUUUCAGGGAUCAGUUUGUUAAAUUCCACUGAAACGCGGAGGUACACAGCACAGCCCUUCUUCUGGGAUGCACAGUCAUGCCAUACAGAAGGGUGUGGGUAGAGACACCAAAACAUGUGUGGACCUGCAACCCUUUCUGUAGAAACUCAGCAUUCUGAGUAGUAAGAAGGAUUAACCUUGUACGCACAUGGAGAAUACUGGUGGCUCCACACAUCCAGUUGUCUUUCAGGUUAUUUUUGCAUCCCACUCUAUAAUUUCUUUUAAUUACUUACUGUAAAGCACAGGAAAGUGCUCAUUACUUGUAGCUUAAUGCAGGAGGAAAUAUAAUUGAAUAUGUUCUUCUAGCCACUGCUCUACCCCAGCUCCCAGCUCUUCUGUAGUGUCACUGUUCAUCUCAACAGCAUGAGUAAGGCAGUUUCCAGGCCCUGUGCAUAAUGAGCCAUGUGGACCCUAUUCAAGAAACUGGCUGUACUCCAGAAUCACUAUAAAAUAUAAGGAAAAUAUUAACAUCUUAGAUGACAAAAGAUCCAUAUGGCUGGCCAGAAAAUAUCCACAUCAUUUAAGCCAUUAGAAUGAACCUAUAUGGAAACAUUCAAUUUGGCGGUACUGUGAACAACAGGACUGUGAAAACAUCUGUUUGUCUCCACCCAUUUUCACUAAACACUGGUUCCUAUAGAAGACAUGCGAACUCAAAUACCAACAUAUUUCAUCUGAGCAUGGGACAGGGACUCCAUUUUUACAUAGUUGCUAUAAUAAAUACAAUAUUUGCUGGUGAUAAGAUUUUGGAAGAUGCUCGGGGCAGCUGGAAAAAUAAGUAAAAUGUUUCUCUUUGUAUUAACCUUGAUAAAAAAAAAUAGCUAACAUUUAUUAAUGGUGAGGUAGAUAAUUUGAUUAUCCACCACUUAUAGCUGAGGAAACUGAGGCCCAGAGAGUUUCGGUGGAUUCCCUAAGAUCACAUACCCAUCAUGUGGUGGAGAGGGAAUAUGAACCAGUGCUGGCUUGCUAUGCCUCUUUCCAUAUGGGGUCAGACAUGGAUGUGGUGUCUUAUUUGUGAGGGAGGUCUACUUGGCAGAGAUAUCCUUCAGACCCUGUAUGCCAGUUUUAUAUUUAUUUAAACAAAGCCCCAUAUGAGCAUUUCUGAUAAGCAGUUUGUUUACACACUAAUUCCACAGAGGUUAAAUAUAAUCCUAAUGUUUCUUUGUUGCUACUCUGUUCCCAGUAUUGAAUUAUUACCACAAGGUACCAACCAUACACGCAUACUUAAUAGGGCAUCGUGUCAAAACUAUGCAUGAGGGUCAUUUGUUUGAGAUGUCGGAACAUUUUCCCCUGAGAAGAUCUCAUUGGGCAUUGAAACAGAACCACAUGCUUUUCAGACCAGCAACCGCGACUACCAAAUACUCUGCUGUCAACUCUACUUGAUGCCCAACAGAAUCCCUUCAAAGCCUGGUGGUCUAACACCCUAUGCUACAUGACUUGUGAUCCACCCAUUUGUCGUGUUCUUUGGGAAUGUGCCUGAGGGGCUGAGAUGUGACUUGAAAAGAAUGGUAGAACAAGAUAAUCUCAAAUUUAUUAUCAAGGAAUAGUUCAGACAACUACUUCAGACGACAGAGACAGCAGAACAGAUGGUCCGGUGUGGAUAGAGCAUCAGACACUCACAGACUGUGCCAACAAGAGCCAUCGAGUCAAAACAGCCAAAGGAAGGAGGAUCAUGGAUUGGGUUCUCUCACACCAAACUGAUGCCCAGAGGCCCUUGGCAUGAAUAACAAAGGCAACCAGUCCCACAAGCCAUACUGAGUUAAUACAAAACCUAUACCUGGGCUGACAUCCCAAAUAUGUGUGGCAAGUUAGAUGAUGAUGGCACAAAAGACAGAACACCUUUGCUUCUAGCCAUUGUCAGCUCUUGGUAGACAGCAGACUUUUAGAGGAGCAGCUGCAAGGAGCCUGAGAACAAAACUGGAAAUGCCUGUUAUGAAAGCCUUCACAGGAAAUUCUGCAAGUGCCAACAUGGGUCCAUUCUGUGUGUGUCACUAGAGCUGGUGCAAGCCCAUGACCAUGGUGAGGCACUGUUUCCACUGGAACUAAUCUGAUACCUGCACCAGCUCUUGGAACUGUGCAGUGUUCCCACUGCAAACUACCGAUGAGGUAAAUAACUUCUCACCUCCUAUUUCUCAUCUCAUCUCACACACUCUGUUUGAUGAGGCUAUGGAGAAACACAUAUUUUCAUACACUAAUGGUGGGAGUACAAACAAUUCAAGCCUUUUGCAGGACAAUUAGGCAAUAUCUAUCAAAAUUAUACAUGAUUUUUCCUGCUAGCCCAGCAAUUCUACUUCUGGGAAUAAACUGACAGAUAUAGUUGCAUAUAUACAAAAUGAUGGAAAGCUCUCUGGAAUAUAUUAGUAAGUGAUAAAACAAGGUGUAAAAUAGUGUAUAUAUGGCUACUACUUUUUGUUUUAAAAAUGGGGGAAAAUGGCAGAGCUUGCGGUGAGCCGAGAUCGUGCCACUGCACUCCAGCCUGGGCAACAGAGCAAGACUCUGUCCCCAAAAAAAUAAAAGUGUGUGUGUGGGGGGCGGGAAUAAUGGUACAUAUUCAUUUUUACCUGUAUCUAUAUAAAACACACUAUCAAGGAUUCACAAGAAACUAAUACAAAUGAUCAUCUUAUAGAUGGUAUGUAUUGGGGGAUACUGGGGUGAGCAACAUAUAAGUGGGGCAAGACUUUUCAGUGUAAACUUCCUUGAAAUUUUAUUUUGAUUUUUGAAUAAUGUAAAUUAACUGUCAAAUAAUUAAAUUAAAAAUAACCAAUUUUUUAACCAAACAUUUAAUCUAGUGGCUUUACUUUUGACACAAGACAAUCUCCACCGAACCACCAAAUCUCCACCAAUCACCAAAAACAGAGAUUUACACCAGUUCGUUUGCUAGUUUUUCCUGGUAGUGACUACAAUUAAGAAGUCCUGUGGGUGCCAUCUCAGUUUGGGAGAUAUUUCCCUAGAAGAAAUUGAUUCAAGGUGGGACAAUUGGGUAUAGAGAAUAGUCCCUGGGACCGGGGGCUGAAGUCCUGAGUUCUGGUCCUGCCUAACUCCCGCUUUCUAUUAAGCUGACCCUGUGAAACAGCUGAUACAUGACCAUUUUUUACCAACAAAUUAGACAAAUUCAUGGGUGAACAAAUUUAAAAACCCUGUUGCCUCACCACUAUGAUAUGAUGAGGACACAUAUACUCACCCACCCUGCCUAACUCACAGCAUCACACCAGGGAUUGUCAACAUAUGGGAAAGAGCUUUGUACACUAUAAAGUUCAACCCCACAAACAGCAGCUGUGAAACACAACACAACCCUGAGGGGGUGGCCAUGGCCAAACACAGGAGGGGAAAAUAACCCAGCCACAAAAGCAUCUGAGAUACUGAGAUAUUGCAGAGGAAUGAAAUCUUCCAAAAGAUGGAAUCUAAACAUAAACAGACAUCAAGAGCAGGACUUGCAGUGGAAGAUGUGGUUAAAUGACUCCACAUGUGGUCAUCUGCCAUUGAAUACACUGCAAAUUCUGUAAAGCCUACUAAGGGAAAUUAGGGAGAUGAAACUGGGAGCUUACUGUAAAGAUACUGAUAUGAACACAAAUGUGAGAUCAGUGUUGAAAGAUGGACCCAAAAGGAUGGCUCUUAGUCCUUGUAACAUAUAGUUGUUGGAGACAUGUGUCUGUCAUACACAGAUAGGCCUCCAACUCACCUCUGAAAUCAGAUGCAAACUUCAAAUACUUUUGAAAAGGCUCCCUAGAGGACCUUUUACCCCAAAUGUAGAGAUUAAAUGAAAAAACCACUCUUUAAAGAGGGUAAAAACACACACACACACACACACACUCAAAAAACUUCUCCUUUCCACAUGUAUAGUCAUCUGGAAAACAGAUCUCCCAUUAAACAGAUGGUCAAAGCUGUACCACAACAUUAAAGUAAGCACAAAAAUUCAAGAGUUCCUUUCCUCACCCUCCUAAAAUGAAACAUCCCAGUAGGCUAGAAAUAACCUCAUGAGGAAGUUCAUUGAAGGUACUCCCACUUGGCAAUGCUAUACAGACACUCCCACUGGCAAUGCUAGUUAAGAAACUAGUUACUUGGAACUCAGAAAAAAUAAGAACUAUUUUGAUUAGGCAAGGCCCCUGUGAAAGGUGCCUAGUUCCAGCUGGGUCUCAGUAGUCUGAUGGUGUCAUGCACUCCUGGACCUCCUCUUAAUGAAACAAGGGAUCUUGACUUCGGGCCCCAUGCUGAGAAACUCUGAAGCCACUUUGGGCCAAAUAUAAUGUCCUCUCACUUCUAGCUUCAUAGCAGACCAUGUUUCCGUAUAGAAAUUUCUCUAGGAAGCUUACUAUCCUAUGUUAUCUCAAGCCGGGGCCUUCUCUUACACAAGAGCCUUAAACUGCCUCUGAGUAAGAAUUAAAGAUAUGUUAUAUUUUUGUGAAUUAUUCAUUUAUACAUUCAGCAAAGGUUAUUAAAAAGGAUGUACUAUUAGGAAGGAAGUUUGGAUGUACUUUGCUUUAGGAAAAUCAUUUUCAAGGUUGCUUCAUGCAAAGUGGGAAUAAUUAACUUGGUAUCUCAGUGGAUUUGCUAAGUGAUUACCCCACGUUUAAAUUGUCACUGAUUUUCAAGUAUGAUAAGAAAACCAGAGACCCAAGGAGGUGGACACAUUCCCACCUGUCAAUAGCCCUCAAGAGAAGUGCUUCAGUAUUACCCCAAAUGGCCAACUUUGCAUGGUUAAUCAUUUAGUUAGAGGCUCACAAGAUCAAAAACAAUUCUUUAAAAACUAUUUAUGUGAACACAGGGACAAUGAGCUGACACCUUCAAGGUGCAUGUCAGGGGCAGAAAUACAAGUUCCUGUUUCACCAGCAGAGCUCCAGUCGCUCAGUUGAAGCUGAAAGUCAGAACCAGCUGUUUCUGUCAUUCCCUCAUAUGAAAAGAACUCAGCUGUAGACCUUCUUUACUCCAUGAGAAAAAAAAAUUAAAAACCCACAAAUAGUUUUUAGGUUUCAUUUUUGCCUCUGCUUCCUCCAGAGCUACAAAGGUCACCCAAAUUUCUGUGACGAGGUUAUUUAGGAGAGCCUUUCUUUUGGAUGUCAACUUGUCAAACUUGUAGUUCAGAUGAGUGUGAUGUAGUCUUCUCCUAAAAUUUACUUUUGCACUAUUUGUUCAUAUAAUAGACACUCUCCGAGGACAGGCACUGAGGACAUCAACAUAAAUAAAACUGAAUUUCUGCCCUUGGGGACUGCAGUGUUAAAGGUGGGUUAGAUCCCAAAACCAACAAUACAGUGCAAUGUGGUACAUGCUGUAACUAACAUGCACAAAGCACAUUCCCAAAAAAAGAGAAUGAAAAGAGGGAGGAAAGUGGCAGAGGAGAAGAGCCUUUGGCCCAAGUUUUUGUUCAAUAAAAAUCAUAUUUUGUAGAUCAGAAGAUUAUAUGAUCUGCUAACCCCUUAGCAUGUAUAGCUCAUGAAGCAAGACAAAGUUCCCAUGAAGAGUUCGACAUCAGCAAGCCUCUGGGGCAAGUAAGCUGGAAAUGAUAACCCAUUUAUGGAUACCUACCUAGAACUGAUUUCCUAUUCAGAGUGCCUUCCUAGCUGAUAAGAACAAUACUGAAAUCUUUCUUUUCCGUGAGGGAAAAACAUGUUGAAUCAUUUAGCAAGUACCUACAGAGCCACCUACUAUUUAUGUGCCCAGCAGUCUACUGUGUGCUAUCAGGAGUAAGAAAAUGUAGAAAUAUUCUUGCUUUCAAAGGGUUUACAAUCUAAUUGUAGAGAUAAUACUAAAAUACAUGAGAGGAAAAAAGGCAAACUUAGCUUCUCUGGGAUAAGGACUAUAUCUCAUGCAACUUUUAAAAAAUUACCAUUUAUUCAACUUCCUACCACCAUUACAUACUUGUGGUAAUCAACUAUCUUCCUUCUCCCCUUGGGAUUUUGAAUUGGGAACAGAAUAGAAACAAGCUGCCAAAUAAGAAUCAAAAUACAGGGUCAGCCUCAAUUUCAGUGCAAGUGGUCCAUUGCUUUGGUUCACAGCCUCUACAGUCCAGAAAAUGAAAGAUUAAGGAUUUCAUCAAUCAGAUUAACCUCUCCUCUUUUCAUGGAAAGAACAAGUAAUGGGGAUAAGAGAAGGGCCUAGACUAUUCCCCGGGAAGUGUUACUUAUUAGGAAGCAAGUUCCCUUGUGGAAACACAAGGAUGGGGGAAAGGGAUUUCCCUCAACAUUGUUGUACCUACGCACAGAGAAUUCAAGUAACUUGCCAGACAUCACAGAGCUAGUAAGUGGUGAGCCUUAAAUCAAACUUAAUCAUCAGGUCAAGGAACACAGGUACAGGCAGGGGCUGCCUCAUGAAGUUUCUAUUUAGGAAAUGUGUCUUUCAAGUCAACAGACUGUCCUGAGUAGGACAGUCUAGAACAUUUUUCUAGACAAAAACAUCAUAUCCACAACUUCCAGCCUAGAAUCUGAUACAGCAAAGACACACAAUAAUUAUUUGUUAUAGAAUUGCGUAUACAAUUAAUUACCAAAUUGUGAGUUACAGACCACCUAGGAACUCAGAUGGGGCAGGUUUAUUAUUAUGGGCAAGAGUCUUUCUAGAAACAGAAUUCCAGCUGGGUCUUGAAGAAUGAGCAGAAUUAAGAUGAAUAAAGAGCAGAAAAAGUCAUGAAUAAACAAAUGAGACUCAGAAUUACAACAGAACAGUUUUAGUCUUGUAAACUUUGCUAUAAAGUGAAGCAUAUUUAGGUAUGAAGCAUGCUGAUUAAACUUUUUAUUGUUUUAGUACAAGUCUAAAAAAAAGUAUCUUUUUGGGGGAGCUGGAAAGUACUACUAAUAAAAACAGUGGCUGAAAUUCAUUAACCAUUUACUAUGCCAAGCACUGCUCUAAGCACUUCACAGGCACUAACACAUUUAAUCCCUACCAAUACCCUGUUGAGAGGUUGAGAUACAGAGAAUUUAAAUUACUUGCCCAAGGUCACAGACCUAGUAAGUGUUAGGCCUGGAGUCAAACUCAAUCCUCCUCUGGCUCAGGAAUAUUGUUCCAGACCUUUGCUCUUACCUGGAAGUUUCUAAUUAGAAAAUUUCUUUCAAGUCAUCUUCAGCAGUUCUCCCAUCUCAAAGUGUCUAAAUUUCUGAUUAUUACAAGACUGCAAAUCCCUUCUAGCCAUGCUCUAAUGCAAGUACUUGGAUAGUGAAAUAAACAAUAAGUCUCUCUAAAUCACAGAAUAUUCAGUUUAUUUGAUUUUAGUUCAGCAAUUCUUAAAUUUUCCUAUACAUCCAAACCACCUGUAGAAGUUUCUAAACCUGACAUAGGCCCAGGGACCCAAUACCAAACUUACAAAUCUUGGAGACUAAGAUCUUAUAUGUAUAUAUAUUUUAAAGAUUCAAGGGUAAUUCUGAUGGUUAGUGUGUUUGAGAAUCACUGCUGUAUGCUGUGU